CGAGAGGGGGAGGGGAAGAGAAAGAGAGAGGGACACAGAGGAUCCAAAGCGGGCUCUGCAGCAGCCUGUGCUUAGGUUCUAUCGAGUCUCAGGGUCACCACUGUGUUAACCGGCUCAUCGCAGGCACAGAAUGUCUCAAGGAGUGUCCAAUUUUAUUACAAACAUCUCAUUUGCAAUAGGAGGUUCAUGAAUGGAGUUCUCAGGACAGGUGUUCAACCCCUACCAGGAACCAAGAGCAAGCCAACAGCUGUUUCUCAAAAGGAAAAGUAUUACUUGUCAAAGAGUGUGUGCUUACACUCAAACACCCUAGGGGCCUCUACGGUGGUUUGUUUAUUGGAAUUUUUAUAGGAUUUAGACAGCAUUCCAAUCUGCUGCGGAAUUUUUGAGUCCUUCUGGAUUCACUAGGUCAUAAAGUGCUGCCUACUGCGAAACUUAUAUUUUCUAGCCUUCUCAGAUCCCACGUUCCGCUCAAAAUUCGCAGCCACUGGGCUUUCUUGUAAGUGAAUCAAAGGAGCACACCUGUAUCAUAUGUUACUUCCAAAACCCAAUGAGGCUUGUCAAGUGUUACAACUUUUUCUUUACCGCUGUCCGAUGCAAGGCGUAUUAAGUUGUCUUUCAUAUUGACAAGGAUAUCCCUAUGUACCUCAGACAGGUCACUUCAGGCUCCAUGACUCUAUGAAUGUAGAAAACUCCAGCACGGAAAAAUAUCUGAGUAAUUACUUAUCCCUCAGUGUCACGUCAGAGUUACUGUAAUUAAUUAAAAGGUUUGGGCUCAUUGUUCUAUCUUCGCCAUUUACGGCUUUCUGGAUUUUUACAAUGAAAAUGUUGCGAUUGAAUCAAAGGCGUGG
Long non-coding RNA from Herpailurus yagouaroundi (jaguarundi), 848 nucleotides. RefSeq lists it as uncharacterized. The transcript has 3 exons. NCBI's taxonomy places the organism in Eukaryota, Metazoa, Chordata, Mammalia, Carnivora, Felidae. The record is from RefSeq and is a predicted model, not a curated record.